UCCUUGUUAUAGUAUUGUUGUUGCUGCUGCUGCCAUGUCGUAUAGACGCUGUGUGUUUCAAUGUGAAAGUGAAACUACUUUGUUUGGCCUUCCAAAAGAGCAAGAUAUCUGCUUUGUCAUGCCAGGAGCUGAUCAGUGCUGGUCGCUGAGGAAAUACAUCAACUUUGCACUGUGGAUCGCCAAAUCGGCUUUCACCGUGGACGAAGUGGAGUCCAGCCCGGGGUCAUCACAUGUGGUUGCUGCAAGACCAAGGAGUUGGCGAUAGUGGAACACUACCAGGAACCAAACCAUUAAAACCUACAGGCAUUGGACGUGGAGAUACUCCGGGCACCAUUGAAGGAGGACCUGGAAGUCUAGGUGGUGGUCCAUGUGGGGUUGGUGGUGAGCCAGGUGGAGUUCCGGGAGGAGUUGGUGGUGGGGCAGGUGGAGUUCCGGGAGGAGUUGGUGGUGGUCCAGGUGGAGUUCCGGGAGGAGUUGGUGGUGGGGCAGGUGGAGUUCCGGGAGGAGUUGGUGGUGGGGCAGGUGGAGUUCCGGGAGGAGUUGGUGGUGGGGCAGGUGGAGUUGGUGGAGUUCCAGGAGGAGUUAAACCCCCUUUAGUUUACAGCGUUACAGGUGGAACUGGAGCUCUUGGAGUUGGAGGUGUAGGUGGAACGGGUCCAGCUGGAGUGGGAGGAGUUGGACUUCUGCCAGGAGGUUAUGAAGGAGCAGGAGGUUUAGGAGCUGGUGGGAUCCAACCAGGAACUGGCCUCAGGUUCCCCAGUGGGGCUACAGUGGGCAGCAAAUAAGAAAAAGUUUAUGGGGCAGCAGGCACACUUGGUGGGCUUGGAGGCCCAGGCGGAUAUGGAACAGGACCCUUUGGCUAUGGAGGUGGUCCAGGUGGUUAUGGUGGUGGCCCAGGCAGUGCUGGUGGACUUGGAGGGCCUGGAAUUGGUGGUGCCAGAUAUCCAGGUGGUGGCCUGGGAGCUAAAGCUGGGAAACCUGGGAAAUCAGUUCUUGUUUUAUAAAAUAAUAAUAUAAUUGUGACUUAUUAAUACAAUGUCAUUACAUUAGCUUAGGGGCCUGAAUAUAAUGAUAAACCUACUAAUCGGGCUCAGAAGAUGGUAGUGGGAGAGCUCUUGUGAAAAAAAGUGUUAACUGUAUUUAAAGGGGUCAUAUGACAAUGUUGUGUAUUUCAUGUAAUGCAAUGUGUUUAUGCGGUUUAAGGUUAAAAAAACAUUAUUUUCCACAUACUGUAC
RNA transcript from Cyprinus carpio (common carp), 1235 nucleotides. It is a transcript of the gene named glycine-rich cell wall structural protein 1-like, with no coding region annotated. Lineage: Eukaryota; Metazoa; Chordata; Actinopteri; Cypriniformes; Cyprinidae. The record is from RefSeq and is a predicted model, not a curated record. The transcript has 8 exons.